UCACAUGAAAGGGUUGUGAUUGAUUUGAGC
This 30-nucleotide non-coding RNA is filed under the name Homo sapiens (human). Lineage: Eukaryota; Metazoa; Chordata; Mammalia; Primates; Hominidae. The record is from RNAcentral.